GUACUCUCACACUCUCUGAUCCUUUGGAUUUGGGGAGCGGUGGACUUGGGUGCUUGCUGCUUUCCUUGUGGCUCACCUCAAAUAUGUUAGUGCAUCUCCUGAUUGGACAUAGUACGGCGUGAUAAGUGUCUUCGCCGGCGCCUCGUUACGAGGGUGGCCAAUUGGGGGCGCUGUGCUCUCAAACCGUCUUCGGACACUGUCUGACA
RNAcentral lists this unclassified non-coding RNA (206 nucleotides) under uncultured Sebacina. RNAcentral's name for it is "sequence contains ITS2". Lineage: Eukaryota; Fungi; Basidiomycota; Agaricomycetes; Sebacinales; Sebacinaceae. The record is from RNAcentral.